Molecule: ribosomal RNA, 120 nt
Filed under: Pseudomonas fluorescens
Lineage: Bacteria; Pseudomonadati; Pseudomonadota; Gammaproteobacteria; Pseudomonadales; Pseudomonadaceae
Also listed under: 13 other names
Source: RNAcentral
UUCUUGACGACCAUAGAGCAUUGGAACCACCUGAUCCCAUCCCGAACUCAGCAGUGAAACGAUGCAUCGCCGAUGGUAGUGUGGGGUUUCCCCAUGUGAGAGUAGGUCAUCGUCAAGAUU